CUCCUGGGAGGAAAACACCCCUUGUUUCAUCAGCUCAGCACGGAGUUCUGGAGACACUGGAUGUAGUCAGGUCCUGGGCACUGGCCCAGAUCUAGACAGAGCAGAAGAAACUAAGUAUGUUAAGAAAGUGACUAACAAAGAUUCCAAUUCAAAUGAGAACAUUCUAGAAUGAAUGUAGUUUAAUAUUGCAUAUAUAGUAAGAGUCUAAAUUAGGUUUCUUAUUUCAAGAAAAAAUUAUAUCCUUCUUUGGAUUUUCCUGAGACUCCUACACAAAGUUCCAUGCUGGUUUCCGCAGCACCGUCAUUGAUUUGCUUAGGACUUUGUCCUUGCCUCCCCUGCUUCUCCCUGAAGAUGUGUCCAGCCUUCUCAUCCCAUCCCCGCCUCCUAUGAGAAACUACAGACAACAUAAUGAGAGCUCUUUAGUGAGCAAAGCAGUGAACUGUGACUAUUUCUAGCAGUGAUCUUUGAGGUCUCCAAGAAGAUGAUGGGGGCUCUGCAACAAUGAUUCAACCUGGAUUGUGGUUACUUCCUGCUUGCAGUGGCUAAUGCCUCAACCUUUUAUGUUGCCGCCUGGACCACCUUACAACCUCCGAACGUUACCUUGCUGACUGGCUUAAACCGCACUGCUGUCCUGGCUCCAAGAGCAUAACCUUUC
This is a long non-coding RNA of Alexandromys fortis (reed vole), 655 nucleotides long. RefSeq lists it as uncharacterized. Lineage: Eukaryota; Metazoa; Chordata; Mammalia; Rodentia; Cricetidae. The record is from RefSeq and is a predicted model, not a curated record. The transcript is spliced from 3 exons.